Molecule: ribosomal RNA, 478 nt
Filed under: uncultured bacterium
Lineage: Bacteria
Description: partial 16S ribosomal RNA
Rfam family: Bacterial small subunit ribosomal RNA
Source: RNAcentral
GAUGAACGCUAGCGGCAGGCCUAACACAUGCAAGUCGAGGGAGAAGCCCUUUCGGGGGCAGAAACCGGCGCACGGGUGCGUAACGCGUAUGCAACCUACCUUUCACAGGGGGAUAGCCCGAAGAAAUUUGGAUUAAUACCCCAUAAUAUUAUUGGAUGGCAUCAUUUGAUAAUUAAAACUGCGGUGGUGAAAGAUGGGCAUGCGUCCUAUUAGCUAGUUGGAGUGGUAACGGCACCCCAAGGCUACGAUAGGUAGGGGUCCUGAGAGGGAGAUCCCCCACACUGGUACUGAGACAGGGACCAGACUCCUACGGGAGGCAGCAGUGAGGAAUAUUGGUGAAUGGUCGGAAGACUGAACCAGCCAUGCCGCGUGCAGGAAGAAUGCCUUAUGGGUUGUAAACUGCUUUUAGAUGGGAAGAAUAAGGCGUACGUGUACGUUGAUGACGGUACCAUAUGAAUAAGCAUCGGCUAACUCCGUG